Molecule: ribosomal RNA, 468 nt
Filed under: uncultured bacterium
Lineage: Bacteria
Description: partial 16S ribosomal RNA
Rfam family: Bacterial small subunit ribosomal RNA
Source: RNAcentral
GAUGAACGCUGGCGGCGUGCCUAACACAUGCAGGUCGAGCGAUUUACUUCGGUAAAGAGCGGCGGACGGGUGAGUAACGCGUGGGUAACCUGCCCUGUACACACGGAUAACAUACCGAAAGGUAUGCUAAUACGAGAUAACAUGCUUUUAUCGCAUGGUAGAAGUAUUAAAGCUCUGGCGGUACAGGAUGGACCCGCGUCUGAUUAGCUAGUUGGUAAGGUAACGGCUUACCUAGGCGACGAUCAGUAGCCGACCUGAGAGGGUGAUCGGCCACAUUGGAACUGAGACACGGUCCAAACCCCUACGGGAGGCAGCAGUGGGGAAUACUGCACAAUGGGCGAAAGCCUGAUGCAGCAACGCCGCGUGAGCGAUGAAGGCCUUCGGGUCGUAAAGCUCUGUCCUCAAGGAAGAUAAUGACGGUACUUGAGGAGGAAGCCCCGGCUAACUACGUGCCAGCCGCCGCCGUAA